Molecule: long non-coding RNA, 2237 nt
Organism: Branchiostoma floridae (Florida lancelet)
Lineage: Eukaryota; Metazoa; Chordata; Leptocardii; Amphioxiformes; Branchiostomatidae
Exons: 5
Source: RefSeq, a predicted model, not a curated record
GUCGCCAAAUCCUCUCGCCAUAGAGAUUUACAUGACAUGUUGGGCGGUACGCUGAACACGCGCGUUUUUGGGUCGACUCGGGCUCCAAGUUGGCUCACUUAGAGUCGACUCAACGUAUUUAAAUCAGGCCUACACUGGUAGCACUUCUUGAGUAUCAUCACAUGGAAUGCUAACUUGUUCUCUUUAAUACAGAUCGCCAACGACGGACCUACCUUGUUAUUGGGACGUGAUACAGCCAAAUACACGAGAGGCAUCGGGUCAUAUAAGAGUUACAUUUAAUUCUUCUCAUAAUUAGAUUUCAUGUACGUUUGCCAACUUACCCACCUGUACCCAACCUGUCAUAUGUUAAUUAGGAUCAUCAUUAUCACCUGUGUGUAUUUAUUGAAAGCCACGCGGAUACCGGAUACUCGGACGUUGAUAUGAGAGCUGUUCUCUCUUUGUUACUUCAGUUUCGACCAAAAAGUUGACUAUUUUCACAUGCCAACUAUAUGAAGAUAUUGUCCUUAUAUCUAAGUCCAUUUUCUGUAAAGCCGUUGACUUCUUUAUCGUCCUGCCUGCAACAUGAUGUGCGACCUUGUCCAACCUAGGCUGUUUGUUCAUAGUCUUUUAUCACCUCGACUUGGAGCCCAGGCGAUAAUGGUGAAUAAUUUCUCGGUGCGAGAGUCGAGUUGACCCGAGAAGCAUACAGAUGAGCCUCGGUGAAUAAAGGCACCCGCCAGGAAUCUCUUUCAACAGGAUGGAGAUAACGGUGCCCCUGCCGUUAGCGUCGCUGUGAAAUGUGAACUAAAAGCCGGGGUUGCGCUCAGUCAGUCAGAAGCUCGGCGCGUCUAGGGAAGGCGGCGGCGUACACGUCCGACAAGGCGAGACUCGGUGGUCUUAGGGACCGUGUCGUCGCUCCAGCAGUCUGAAGAUUAUACCGGGAUGUGAAGCUGGGGCUCAUGAAGGAUUCCACAUUUCAAAUACUGGGCGUUGUCUUCAAGUUGUACAUGAAAACCAUUCGUUUUUCAUGAUGGCGUCUCUGAGAGUGAAAGAGAGGAACGCAAUACACCGUGCACCAUGUUGGUAUAGAGUAUGUCGUACGUUGUUCAGUGACUUUUAUUGUAUCCGUGACGAACGAACUCUUGCGACUGUAACACGGGGUUGUAACUACUGGGAAUAACUGCACAGAUGGUCGCUCAACAAACUGCUAGAUUAUACAGGUAAACAGGCUUGCCCCUUUGCGGGUACUUUUGUUCAGACACGUUUGACAUAUUGCUGGUACUGCGCAGGGCGUUCUGCAGGCGAUGUGCCUCCGGGCAUCUGUGCAAGAUGCUGCUCAGGUGCAGCUAAGACCCACUGGCGCCACCGCGCACAUGUACGUUACACAGGAUGUUAGUGUUGUGACUUGUGUAGUUAGGAAACGGUGUGUUGGCUGUUUCCGUGCUGGCGAGUAUUUCGUUACUCCAGUCUGCUUCAUCUACCCGUAGAAUCCCAGUAUACGUUUCAGUUUCAGACACUACUAUGUCAUUGAACACGACUGGACAACGAUUCCGACUACAGUCGAAUUCACAACCUCUUGAUAUGUCACUAAAUUUGUGUUUAAUAUAUAAAAAAGCAGUGCAGUUGUACGUUUGGAAUUGAUAAUUGAAGGUUGUGAUUACAGCUACAGUCAACCUACAAACAAAACAGCGAACGUUAUUGACAAUCAGAUACGUGUAUACACACGCGAAAAAAAAAGAAAUUACAGAAACAACAAAAGCGUAAUAAUGUGAAAACACACUGGGUAUUGACAAUACAUAGCACGAAAAAGUGUAUACGAAAAGUGCGUAGUAUAUACGUGCCUAAGAAAAAGUACAAUUUUAUUCCGUGCUCAGUAACCGUCCAGCUAUCCCGUAUCUCCCUCCCCCCUCUCGGCCAUCCGUAUUUAUUGAUAUGCGCGCUGCCGGAGGCUGGCAUCUCCAUAAUCGCGCACGUAGGACAUUAUGAAGGUUUGUGGUCCGGCCAUCAUUUCAUGACGAUGGUAAUCAAGAUAAGCCCACUGCAGUUCUUUAUUAGUCCCAAUUCUCUGUCCUGGCAGACGGGGAUAGAUGGAUCAUAAAGGUACAGGUCCAUUGCAAGUCAUGUAUGCAAUACUACAGGUCAACCGCUUUGAAGUAUUUCUCAAAGGCACACAGUAUGCAUACAGCAUGCGGAGAGAGAACCAUUAAAGGAUAGAGACUCUUUGUUCAUGAUACUUGGUUUAAAAUGUGUACAAGUCU